This 255-nucleotide ribosomal RNA is filed under the name uncultured bacterium. Its description in RNAcentral is "partial 16S ribosomal RNA". It matches the Rfam family "Bacterial small subunit ribosomal RNA", at positions 524 to 776 of the family's 1533-position model. The record is from RNAcentral.
UACGGAGGGUGCAAGCGUUUAUCCGGAUUCAACUGGGUUUAAAGGGUGCGUAGGCGGGUUGGUAAGUCCGUGGUGAAAUCCCCAAGCUUAACUUGGGAACUGCCGUGGAUACUAUCAAUCUUGAAUAUCGUGGAGGUAAGCGGAAUAUGUCAUGUAGCGGUGAAAUGCUUAGAUAUGACAUAGAACACCAAUUGCGUAGGCAGCUUACUACACGAUCAUUGACGCUGAGGCACGAAAGCGUGGGGAGCAAACAGG